UACGUAGGGAGCAAGCGUUGUCCGGAAUUAUUGGGCGUAAAGAGCUCGUAGGCGGUUUGUCGCGUCUGCUGUGAAACCCGAGGCUCAACCUCGGGCCUGCAGUGGGUACGGGCAGACUAGAGUGCGGUAGGGGAGAUUGGAAUUCCUGGUGUAGCGGUGGAAUGCGCAGAUAUCAGGAGGAACACCAAUGGCGAAGGCAGAUCUCUGGGCCGUAACUGACGCUGAGGAGCGAAAGCAUGGGGAGCGAACAGG
This 252-nucleotide ribosomal RNA is filed under the name uncultured bacterium. RNAcentral describes it as "partial 16S ribosomal RNA". It matches the Rfam family "Bacterial small subunit ribosomal RNA", at positions 524 to 776 of the family's 1533-position model. The record is from RNAcentral.